Suricata suricatta (meerkat) is the source of this 364-nucleotide long non-coding RNA. RefSeq lists it as uncharacterized. The transcript has 2 exons. NCBI's taxonomy places the organism in Eukaryota, Metazoa, Chordata, Mammalia, Carnivora, Herpestidae. The record is from RefSeq and is a predicted model, not a curated record.
UCAACAAUACACAGAGGUCACCGCCCUACUAAAGCAAUGGACAACACUUGUGUCUUAAAGACAAGUAGGAAUUAUCCGGGGUAAAGUUAUUGGAGGAAGGAGCCAGGAAAUGGAUAACAGGCAGAGGAAACAGCACAUUUGAAAGCCCAAGGCACUGCUCUGAGUGCCAGGAAUGAAGCUAUGACAGCUGAAACCAGAGGAGAGCUCCGAAUCAUGAUGUGAACUUGAGAACAGAGGCAAGGAAUGGUGAAGCAACAAGAAAGAUAGCAGCAGUAGGAGUUCUGGAACAGUAGAAUCCCGUUCUAAACCUAUUUUAUCUACAAAGAUUUUUCCAUGAAAAAAAAUACAUUUCUACAUUUUAAAA